RNAcentral lists this ribosomal RNA (468 nucleotides) under uncultured bacterium. RNAcentral's name for it is "partial 16S ribosomal RNA". It matches the Rfam family "Bacterial small subunit ribosomal RNA", at positions 28 to 507 of the family's 1533-position model. The record is from RNAcentral.
GACGAACGCUGGCGGCGUGCUUAACACAUGCAAGUCGAACGGAAAGGCCCUGCUUUUGUGGGUUGCUCGAGUGGCGAACGGGUGAGUAACACGUGAGUAACCUGCCCUUGCCUUUGGGAUAACUUCAGGAAACUGGGGCUAAUACCGGAAAGGAGCUCCUGCUGCAUGGUGGGGGUUGGAAAGUUUCGGCGGUUGGGGAUGGACUCGCGGCUUAUCAGCUUGUUGGUGGGGUAGUGGCUUACCAAGGCUUUGACGGGUAGCCGGCCUGAGAGGGUGACCGGCCACAUUGGGACUGAGAUACGGCCCAGACUCCUACGGGAGGCAGCAGUGGGGAAUAUUGCACAAUGGGCGGAAGCCUGAUGCAGCAACGCCGCGUGCGGGAUGACGGCCUUCGGGUUGUAAACCGCUUUCGCCUGUGACGAAGCGUGAGUGACGGUAAUGGGUAAAGAAGCACCGGCUAACUACGUG